GAUGAACGCUGGCGGCGUGCCUAAUACAUGCAAGUCGAGCGAACAGAUGAGGAGCUUGCUCCUCUGACGUUAGCGGCGGACGGGUGAGUAACACGUGGAUAACCUACCUAUAAGACUGGGAUAACUUCGGGAAACCGGAGCUAAUACCGGAUAAUAUAUUGAACCGCAUGGUUCAAUAGUGAAAGACGGUUUUGCUGUCACUUAUAGAUGGAUCCGCGCCGCAUUAGCUAGUUGGUAAGGUAACGGCUUACCAAGGCAACGAUGCGUAGCCGACCUGAGAGGGUGAUCGGCCACACUGGAACUUAGACACUGGCCAUACGCCUACGGGAGGCAGCAGUAGGGAAGCUUGCGCAAUGGGCGAAAGCUUGACGGAGCAACUCCGCGUGAGUGAUGAAGUUCUUCGGAUCGUAAAACUCUGUUAUUAGGGAAGAACAAAUGUGUAAGUAACUAGGCACGUCUUGACGGUACCUAAUCAGAAAGCCACGGCUAACUACGUG
This 497-nucleotide ribosomal RNA is filed under the name uncultured bacterium. Its description in RNAcentral is "partial 16S ribosomal RNA". It matches the Rfam family "Bacterial small subunit ribosomal RNA", at positions 28 to 507 of the family's 1533-position model. The record is from RNAcentral.